This 253-nucleotide ribosomal RNA is filed under the name uncultured microorganism. RNAcentral describes it as "partial 16S ribosomal RNA". It matches the Rfam family "Bacterial small subunit ribosomal RNA", at positions 524 to 776 of the family's 1533-position model. The record is from RNAcentral.
UACGUAGGGGGCGAGCGUUACCCGGAUUUACUGGGCGUAAAGGGGGCGUAGGUGGCCGUGUAAGUCCGGUGUGAAAACUCACGGCUCAACCGUGGGACUGCGCUGGAAACUACACGGCUUGAGGACGGUAGAGGGAGACGGAACUGCUGGUGUAGGGGUGAAAUCCGUAGAUAUCAGCAGGAACGCCGGUGGAGAAGUCGGUCUCCUGGGCCGUUCCUGACGCUGAGGCCCGAAAGCUAGGGGAGCAAACCGG